This is a long non-coding RNA of Dioscorea cayenensis subsp. rotundata (Guinea yam), 748 nucleotides long. RefSeq lists it as uncharacterized. The record is from RefSeq and is a predicted model, not a curated record. NCBI's taxonomy places the organism in Eukaryota, Viridiplantae, Streptophyta, Magnoliopsida, Dioscoreales, Dioscoreaceae. The transcript is spliced from 3 exons.
ACAAAUCCCAAUCUGGAGGCCAUCUCUCUAUCAUUGAGAGAAAAACAAAAUAAGCAAUUUCUUCAAAGUGGCUUUACUCUCUAUCAUUGAUCCCUUUGUGUAGAACUUGGGCGUUGAGGAAGAGCAGCAUUACCAUCCAAUGGUUUCAAUUUCAUCCAUCAUUUGCAGCUUCACCAUUCAAAUUUUUGGCUUCAAUUCCAUUCGUGGUUUCGGAGUUCUCAAUGGAGAUCUGACAAGAGUACGGCAAGAAAUAAUGCUUGGAUACCUAUCUCUGGAUCCUUAGCUCUAUUCAGUAAUCGGUAUGUGACACCUCUGAGCAGUUCAUUUUAAAUUUAAAUUUCAUUAUACUCCUAACAAAUUGUGUUCUUAUUCAAUAAUUGCUUCUUUCUUUUGGAGUUUCAUUUAGAGUGUUUUCAACUUAAAUUUCAGUUUGUCAAGUAUGAUUUUUCUUAGAUAGAAAACUUUCAAAUUACAUUGAUCAAAUAUGCAACUCUAACAAGCAUUGUGUAUAUAGUAUAGUUUACUAAUUGUUACUUCUUGAAAAGAUAUGGCCAUGAAUUAUAUAAACUGAAAUUCAUGCCCAUGAAUUUUAGUUUUUUAAAAGAUUCUAGUUGGUAUAUAUGUUUGUUCUUUUUUUGACAUAAUGGAGUGUUGAUGAAUCUAAUAUUUUGAUUCUGGAUGGUAUAUAUGUGUUGCCAAAUGUUGAUUUUGAUUGUUUUUUUCAUAUUUCUGCUGUAAAAUGAAGAAA